GUUCUCCUAGAUCCAUGCUCGCACUGAGGUGAGAAAUGAGAAGCCAGGGCCGGGAGCCUCCUGGGGGUUGGCUGCCAACGCCAGGCAGGCGGGGAAUGGUGAUUUUCGCUUGUAUCGUGGAGGAUGCCACGCACAGACGUGAAUAGAAAGAGCCUGGACCGUGUCCUGAGGUCAGCGACUGAGGUCCUGGGUGGGGCCAGCCAGGACCUGCCCGGGGGCUACUGCCCUCUGAAUCAAUACCUCCAGGGACCCUACGUUGACACCCAUGGCCUCCCACUCUCCACCCCUCAGUCCUGCGUGCGGCACGUAGUGCUCACUGGGCGUCUGUGUAGGGGGUUGAAGGCUGAGGCUGGAACAAGGGCGUGGCGGUCGCAGGCUCCAGGGCACGACGGUCCUUCCUCUUCCCCUUCUCAGCCACAUCUGGGGCUCCGUCCCUGCAGCCAAGGCUCCCUGGCGCUGUCCUUGGUGCUGACGCGGUUCUGGAAGUGCGGUGCCAGGGUGGCUGGUGCGGCUCCCGAUGGAAAAGCCCCACCAACCCCACAAAGCAGACUCGGGAGAGAACACGCCACCGUCUUUAGCGAAUCUUACCAACCCAGGGCCAAAGCGCCCUGCACCCCAGAGCAGCACUCGUGGUGGGAACACAGGCUGAUGUAAUAAACAGAAAAGUGACUGCGGGGGAUGGGGAAGGCGGGAUGUCCUUAGCGUCCCAUGGAAAAAACAUAUUUCCUCCAGAUGGGAUCAUCGAUAA
Molecule: long non-coding RNA, 748 nt
Organism: Homo sapiens (human)
Lineage: Eukaryota; Metazoa; Chordata; Mammalia; Primates; Hominidae
Source: Ensembl